UAAUCUCACCUCCGGAAAUUUUUCUGGGAGUGGACUUGGACGUUGCUGUGUCACGGCUCGUCUCGAACGUCUCAGUGUGACCCGUUUGCAGGCGUCUACAGUGUGAUAGGUAUCUUCACUGUGUUAGUCUCUUCGGAGGCGCGCUCUCGGACGUGGGCUUCUAUGCUGCCAACCGUCUUCGGACAAUCUCUGACG
RNAcentral lists this unclassified non-coding RNA (195 nucleotides) under uncultured Sebacinales. Its description in RNAcentral is "sequence contains ITS2". Lineage: Eukaryota; Fungi; Basidiomycota; Agaricomycetes; Sebacinales. The record is from RNAcentral.